RNAcentral lists this ribosomal RNA (591 nucleotides) under uncultured bacterium. Its description in RNAcentral is "bacterial SSU rRNA". It matches the Rfam family "Bacterial small subunit ribosomal RNA", at positions 56 to 689 of the family's 1533-position model. The record is from RNAcentral.
UGCAGUCGAACUAGACCUUCGGGUCUAGUGGCGCACGGGUGCGUAACGCGAUGGGAAUCUGCCCUUUGCUACGGAAUAACUCAGAGAAAUUUGUGCUAAUACCGUAUAAUGUCGUAAGACCAAAGAUUUAUCGGCAAAGGAUGAGCCCGCGUAAGAUUAGCUUGUUGGUGGGGUAAAGGCCUACCAAGGCGACGAUCUUUAGCUGGUCUGAGAGGAUGAUCAGCCACACUGGGACUGAGGCACGGCCCAGACUCCUACGGGAGGCAGCAGUGGGGAAUAUUGGACAAUGGGCGAAAGCCUGAUCCAGCAAUGCCGCGUGAGUGAUGAAGGCCUUAGGGUUGUAAAGCUCUUUUACCAGGGAUGAUAAUGACAGUACCUGGAGAAUAAGCUCCGGCUAACUCCGUGCCAGCAGCCGCGGUAAUACGGAGGGAGCUAGCGUUGUUCGGAGUUACUGGGCGUAAAGCGUGCGUAAGCGGCUAUUCAGGUCAGAGGUGAAAGCCUGGAGCUCAACUCCAGAACUGCCUUUGAAGCUAGAUAGCGAGAAAUCUUGGAGAGGUGAGUGUGAAUUCCGAGUGUAGAAGAUGAAAUUUC